UGAAGAUUAGCAUGACCUCUGCGCAAAGAUGACAUGCAGAUUCCUGAAGCGUUCCUUAUUUUC
This 63-nucleotide small nuclear RNA is filed under the name Sphenodon punctatus (tuatara). Lineage: Eukaryota; Metazoa; Chordata; Lepidosauria; Sphenodontia; Sphenodontidae. The record is from RNAcentral.